GACGGUAUAGCUCAGUGGGAGAGCGCAUGCUUAGUAUGCACGAAGUUCUGGGUUCAAUCCCCAGUACCGCCA
Molecule: transfer RNA, 72 nt
Filed under: Camelus bactrianus (Bactrian camel)
Lineage: Eukaryota; Metazoa; Chordata; Mammalia; Artiodactyla; Camelidae
Also listed under: 1 other name
Rfam family: tRNA
About the family: Transfer RNA (tRNA) molecules are approximately 80 nucleotides in length.
Source: Rfam by way of RNAcentral